Molecule: ribosomal RNA, 379 nt
Filed under: uncultured microorganism
Description: bacterial SSU rRNA
Rfam family: Archaeal small subunit ribosomal RNA
Source: RNAcentral
GCGCAGCAGGCGAGAAACUUCACACUGCGCGAAAGCGCGAUGAGGGAAUCCCAAGUGCUUGCACGUAAGUGUAAGCUGUUUCUCUGUCUAAAAGCAGAGAGAGUAAGGGCUGGGUAAGACGGGUGCCAGCCGCCGCGGUAAUACCUGCAGCUCAAGUGGUGGCCGCUAUUAUUGGGCCUAAAACGUCCGUAGCCGGUCUAGUAAAUGCCUGGGUAAAUCGUGAGGCUUAACCUUACGAAUUCCGGGUAGACUGCUAGACUUGAGACCGGGAGAGGCUAGAGGUACUCCUGGGGUAGAGGUGAAAUUCUGUAAUCCUAGGGGGACCACCAGUGGCGAAGGCGUCUAGCUAGAACGGGUCUGACGGUGAGGGACGAAGCCC